CCCUUAGACGUUCUGGGCCGCACGCGCGCUACACUGACCAGUGCAACAAGCAUCCGUCCUUGGCCGACAGGCCCGGGCAAUCUUUGAACGCUGGUCGUGAUGGGGAUAGACUUUUGCAAUUUUUGGUCUUGAACGAGGAAUUCCUAGUAAAUGCAAGUCAUCAGCUUGCGUUGAUUACGUCCCUGCCCUUUGUACACACCGCCCGUCGCACUUACUGAUUGGAUGACUCGGUGAAGAAUCGGGACCGUGAGAACAAUCGAUUCAUUUCGAAUGUACUUGUGGGAACCUUUCUUAACCUCGUUUUCUAGAAGAAGGUGAAGUCGUAACA
Molecule: ribosomal RNA, 328 nt
Filed under: uncultured eukaryote
Lineage: Eukaryota
Description: partial 18S ribosomal RNA
Rfam family: Eukaryotic small subunit ribosomal RNA
Source: RNAcentral